UCAUUACUCCUCCUUCCUCUGCUUCUUCAGACUGCCUCUAUCAUUACUCCUCCUUCCUCUGCUUCUUCAGACUGCCUCUAUCAUUACUGCUCCUUCCUCUGCUUCUUCAAGAUGCCUCUAUAUCAUUACUCCUCUCCUCCUUCCUCUGCUUCUUCACUGCCUCUAUCAUUACUCCUCUCCUCCUUCCUCUGCUUCUUCAGACUGCCUCUGCUUCUUCAGACUGCCUCUAUCAUUACUCCUCCUUCCUCUGCUUCUUCAGACUGCCUCUGCUUUUUCAGACUGCCUCUAUAUCAUUACUCCUCUCCUCCUUCCUCUGCUUCUUCACUGCCUCUAUCAUUACUCCUCUCCUCCUUCCUCUGCUUCUUCAGACUGCCUCUGCUUCUUCAGACUGCCUCUAUCAUUACUCCUCCUUCCUCUGCUUUUUCAGACUGCCUCUAUCAUUACUCCUCCUUCCUCUGCUUCUUCAGACUGCCGCUAUAUCAUUACUCCUCUCCUCCUUCCUCUGCUUCUUCAAACUGCCUCUAUAUCAUUACUCCUCUCCUCCUUCCUCUGCUUCUUCACUGCCUCUAUAUCAUUACUCCUCUCCUCCUUCCUCUGCUUCUUCAGACUGCCUCUAUCAUUACUCCUCCUUCCUCUGCUUUUUCAAACUGCCUCUAUAUCAUUACUCCUCUCCUCCGUCCUCUGCUUCUUCAGACUGCCUCUAUAUCAUUACUCCUCUCCUCUUUCCUCUGCUUCUUCAGACUGCCUCUAUCAUUACUCCUCCUUCCUCUGCUUCUUCAGACUGCCUCUGCUUUUUUAGACUGCCUCUAUCAUUACUCCUCUCAUCCUUCCUCUGCUUCAGACUGCCUCUAUAUCAUUACUCUCCUCCUUCCUCUGCUUCUUCACUGCCUCUAUCAUUACUCCUCUCAUCCUUCCUCUGCUUCUUCAGACUGCCUCUAUCAUUACUCCUCUCCUCCUUCCUCUGCUUCUUCAGACUGCCUCUAUCAUUACUCCUCUCCUCCUUCCUCUGCUUCUUCAAACUGCCUCUAUAUCAUUACUCCUCUCCUCCUUCCUCUGCUUCUUCAAACUGCCUCUAUCAUUGCUCCUCUCCUCCUUCCUCUGCUUCUUCACUGCCUCUAUCAUUACUCCUCUCCUCCUUCCUCUGCUUCUUCAGACUGCCUCUAUCAUUACUCCUCCUUCCUCUGCUUCUUCAGACUGCCUCUAUCAUUACUCCUCCUUCCUCUGCUUUUUCAGACUGCCUCUAUCAUUACUCCUCCUUCCUCUGCUUCUUCAGAC
Molecule: long non-coding RNA, 1275 nt
Filed under: Oncorhynchus mykiss (rainbow trout)
Lineage: Eukaryota; Metazoa; Chordata; Actinopteri; Salmoniformes; Salmonidae
Description: lncRNA (ENSOMYG00000066997.1)
Source: RNAcentral